UCCCCAACCUGCACGCGUCAGACUCUGUUCCUGCAAGACCCCCCGGCCCCCUCCCAGACGGACGGAUGGAGUUGAGCCAGCCAGGGGCCGGGCUGGGGGUGGCCCCUCCCUCCCUCCUCUUCCCCUCUCCCGUCUCCCUUUCCCCAACCUCCUCCAGCAACCCAGGGAUCAAACACACACAUAACGUACCCACUUACAUAUUGUACCUACGUGUUGGAGAGAGACAGAGAGGGAGACUCGACACACGUACAAACAGACGCACGUCCCUCCAGUUUUCUGACAUGCUCUCCUUUUCUGCCGUCUAUCCACAUCCUUUUCCCCACAUCCCUCCCAUGGUCGCUGUUCUUUUAUUUUUGGUAGCCCUGACCUCCCCCA
This 375-nucleotide long non-coding RNA is filed under the name Rattus norvegicus (Norway rat). RNAcentral's name for it is "long non-coding RNA NONRATT000364". The record is from RNAcentral. Lineage: Eukaryota; Metazoa; Chordata; Mammalia; Rodentia; Muridae.